GCGACGACGGGUAGCCGGCCUGAGAGGGCGACCGGCCACACUGGGACUGAGACACGGCCCACACUCCUACGGGAGGCAGCAGUGGGGAAUAUUGCACAAUGGGCGAAAGCCUGAUGCACCGACGCCGCGUGAGGGAUGACGGCCUUCGGGUUGUAAACCUCUUUCAACAGGAAAGAAGCUAGAGUGACUGUACCUGCAAAACAAGCGCCGGCUAACUACGUGCCAACAGCCGCGGUAAUAC
This 241-nucleotide ribosomal RNA is filed under the name Streptomyces sp. FZ-12. RNAcentral's name for it is "partial 16S ribosomal RNA". It matches the Rfam family "Bacterial small subunit ribosomal RNA", at positions 273 to 526 of the family's 1533-position model. The record is from RNAcentral. Lineage: Bacteria; Bacillati; Actinomycetota; Actinomycetes; Kitasatosporales; Streptomycetaceae.